This 715-nucleotide ribosomal RNA is filed under the name Bacillus safensis. RNAcentral describes it as "bacterial SSU rRNA". It matches the Rfam family "Bacterial small subunit ribosomal RNA", at positions 56 to 755 of the family's 1533-position model. Lineage: Bacteria; Bacillati; Bacillota; Bacilli; Caryophanales; Bacillaceae. The record is from RNAcentral.
UGCAGUCGAGCGAACAGAAGGGAGCUUGCUCCCGGAUGUUAGCGGCGGACGGGUGAGUAACACGUGGGUAACCUGCCUGUAAGACUGGGAUAACUCCGGGAAACCGGAGCUAAUACCGGAUAGUUCCUUGAACCGCAUGGUUCAAGGAUGAAAGACGGUUUCGGCUGUCACUUACAGAUGGACCCGCGGCGCAUUAGCUAGUUGGUGGGGUAAUGGCUCACCAAGGCGACGAUGCGUAGCCGACCUGAGAGGGUGAUCGGCCACACUGGGACUGAGACACGGCCCAGACUCCUACGGGAGGCAGCAGUAGGGAAUCUUCCGCAAUGGACGAAAGUCUGACGGAGCAACGCCGCGUGAGUGAUGAAGGUUUUCGGAUCGUAAAGCUCUGUUGUUAGGGAAGAACAAGUGCGAGAGUAACUGCUCGCACCUUGACGGUACCUAACCAGAAAGCCACGGCUAACUACGUGCCAGCAGCCGCGGUAAUACGUAGGUGGCAAGCGUUGUCCGGAAUUAUUGGGCGUAAAGGGCUCGCAGGCGGUUUCUUAAGUCUGAUGUGAAAGCCCCCGGCUCAACCGGGGAGGGUCAUUGGAAACUGGGAAACUUGAGUGCAGAAGAGGAGAGUGGAAUUCCACGUGUAGCGGUGAAAUGCGUAGAGAUGUGGAGGAACACCAGUGGCGAAGGCGACUCUCUGGUCUGUAACUGACGCUGAGGAGCG